Molecule: ribosomal RNA, 452 nt
Filed under: uncultured Thiobacillus sp.
Lineage: Bacteria; Pseudomonadati; Pseudomonadota; Betaproteobacteria; Nitrosomonadales; Thiobacillaceae
Description: bacterial SSU rRNA
Rfam family: Bacterial small subunit ribosomal RNA
Source: RNAcentral
ACAAGCGGUGGAUGAUGUGGAUAAUUCGAUGCAACGCGAAGAACCUUACCUACCCUUGACAUGUCCGGAACUUGCCAGAGAUGGCUUGGUGCCCGAAAGGGAAUCGGAACACAGGUGCUGCAUGGCUGUCGUCAGCUCGUGUCGUGAGAUGUUGGGUUAAGUCCCGCAACGAGCGCAACCCUUAUCAUUAGUUGCUACGCAAGGGCACUCUAAUGAGACUGCCGGUGACAAACCGGAGGAAGGUGGGGAUGACGUCAAGUCCUCAUGGCCCUUAUGGGUAGGGCUUCACACGUCAUACAAUGGGGUGUACAGAAAGCUGCGAUACGGUGACGUGGAGCAAAUCUCAAAAACACCUCCCAGUUCGGAUUGUUCUCUGCAACUCGAGAACAUGAAGUUGGAAUCGCUAGUAAUCGUAGAUCAGCAAUGCUACGGUGAAUACGUUCCCGGGUCUU